UACGAAGGGGGCUAGCGUUGCUCGGAAUUACUGGGCGUAAAGGGAGCGUAGGCGGGUUAUCAAGUCAGGGGUGAAAGACGGUAGCUUAACUAUCGCAGUGCCUUUGAUACUGAUGGGCUUGAAUGUAGUUGAGGUAGGCGGAAUGUGACAAGUAGCGGUGAAAUGCAUAGAUAUGUCACAGAACACCAAUUGCGAAGGCAGCUUACUAAAGUAUGAUUGACGCUGAGGCACGAAAGCGUGGGGAUCAAACAGG
This 253-nucleotide ribosomal RNA is filed under the name uncultured bacterium. Its description in RNAcentral is "partial 16S ribosomal RNA". It matches the Rfam family "Bacterial small subunit ribosomal RNA", at positions 524 to 776 of the family's 1533-position model. The record is from RNAcentral.